Sinocyclocheilus grahami is the source of this 1273-nucleotide long non-coding RNA. RefSeq lists it as uncharacterized. The transcript has 2 exons. The record is from RefSeq and is a predicted model, not a curated record. Lineage: Eukaryota; Metazoa; Chordata; Actinopteri; Cypriniformes; Cyprinidae.
UUUUGACAAUUGUCUUAUCAAGGGUCAUGCCUGGCUAAAAGACGAUGAAGCUACACAGUGCAAGCAGUGCCAAAAAGAAUUCUCAAUCUCUCGGAGAAAGCACCAUUGCAGGAACUGUGGAGACAUCUACUGCAACAGUUGCUCCAGUAAUGAGCUGGCUCUGCCCUCGUUCCCCAGACCUGUCCGCGUGUGUGACAUCUGCCAUUCCCUACUGCUCCAGAGAAGCUCCAUCGGCUCCUCCUGACAGCAUUCAACAUCUCUGCUGAUCGUGUGUGUGUGUGUGUGAGAAAUUACAUGCCAGCUUUAUUCAUCAAACUCAAUCUGUUUUUAACACUUAUGCAUUAAUUACUUGGCUUCCGUUUGACUAAAUCCUUUGAUUGUUGCAAAACCAUAUGCAAAGUUUUUUUUUGACAGAAAGACGCAAGGAUAAUUAGAAACUAACAUUAAUCUGAUUGUAUUUAUAAUGAUAGUCUCCAUUUUAGGGAGAGCACUAACAUAUACAAGCCUUUCAUGUGUUCACCAAGAGUGGAUGCAGAGGAUUCAUAUUUCGAUACGCUUCGUGCUUUUUAGUAUCCUCUUAUCAAAAUAGGACAGAAUUGAUUUUGUAAUGAUUUUGUAAAUUCUGCUGUGUUCAAUUUUAUUUUUUAAAGGAGACAUGGAAUCACUAAUUUUCACUAUUUUUUAAGUGUAUGUGCUUGUGCUAUAAAUAUUUAAUCGGUGCAUGUUAUACAAAAAAAAUAUACCACUAUCAAAGGUCAAAAGUUGGGACCAGUUCCUGUAUGAAGUUAGUAGAUCUGCAAAUUGUUCAACAAAAUGUGUAAAUCAUUCAUAAAACCAUUCUUACAGAAAUAGAAUUGAAUAACGAUGGUUUUAUGAACACAUUUGUUCUGCUAAUAUCAUGAAUGAGGCCCAAAGUCUGUAAAUUAUUUUUCAUUGUCCAAAGGCAAGACCACAUUUAUAGUAUGCAAGACUAAAGAGCAGAUGGAUUGUAUUUUCUCCAACUUUUGUUGCUCAUACCAGUCAAAACAAAUGUUUUUACAAAAUUUUUAAGGCUCUCGGAAUACAAAAUGUCUGUUUUAGAUUGUACGAGUGUCCUGUGUUGUACCCUCUUUUGUCUCCUGUUCGGUUCAUAAAGCUGUAAUGAAGUUUCUGAAGAUUUUAUAGAAUUGUGUACGGUUUAAUAAACACUGCCUCAAAUUAGUAUUAAUCCAUCUGUGAAGCCAUGAGGACAUUUGUCCACUACACUGAAAUCACAGGUGAUACACUGCAUGGG